Long non-coding RNA from Solanum pennellii, 2030 nucleotides. RefSeq lists it as uncharacterized. The record is from RefSeq and is a predicted model, not a curated record. The transcript has 5 exons. Lineage: Eukaryota; Viridiplantae; Streptophyta; Magnoliopsida; Solanales; Solanaceae.
ACGAAAUACAAAAAAAACACAGCUUUUGGAAACUUCCAAAUUACUCUCUCACUGUCACACUUUUCUCACCGCCACACUUCUCUACAACAGCACUUCUCCACCGUCUACGACGCACUUCUCCGCCGUCUACGUCGGCACUUCUCUACAACGGCACGUCUCCUCACAACUCUGUAAACUUCAGCUACUGACCAAAUUCAAAAUUUUAUAGGUGUUCUAAGGUAAUGUUUUCCACUUCUCACCUCUUUGAAUAAUGAAUCUACCUCACAUUUUUAGAUUUUCUCAUAUGAAUCUUCAUAAAUUGUACAAAUUAUUGGUUGUAUUUACUAGGUAAGUUUAUUUUUUGUCUGUUUGUAUUGAUGCAUGGAGGUAGAAGUAGGUUAAUUUUGUUAUAUUCUUCAUGGAUGAAAAUUCAAAAUAUCAAAUUUGGUCAUGUAUUUUGUGGUAGAAUUAGGUUUAUUUUGUUAUAAUUUUGGUGAUUCUACAGAUUCUUCGAGACAUUCUGUGUCUACAGAUUUUUUGGAGCCACUUUGUCUGAAAUGGUGUCGCUAACAAGUGCCUUGUUUCUUCUUAAAAUUUGGAGUUGUCGUCUCCGUGAAUCCUUUUGUUUAUGCUGGAGUAAGGUCUGUAUAAUUUCCCCCUUUGUUUGUUAAUUAAUUCUUCUUUAGCUGUUAAAUGUGCCCUCAAUCUUCACUUAUCUCUCUAUACUUGUAUUAAUACAUUAUAUUCUUAUUUGGAACUGAAAUUAACAGGAGAGCUUCUAGAUCUUCGGGGAUAAAAAAAGUUGAGGUACUCUUUCAUUUGCUUAGAUCACUAUAAUUUCUCAGUGGUUAGGCCCCUAUGGAAAUAGUUGAAGCCUCAAGUUCGCCUGAUGCUUAUGCUUAAAAUCAACUAUAAUAGUACUAAAUAGAGAUAAAUAGACAUUUACUCUCAGUGGACGUUCUUAGUGUUGGUGAUGAUAUUUUCUUCAGAACAAUACUAGGAUUGCACAAGUACAGUUGCAUACAUUUCAAACAGAGAAUGUUUGGCAAGUGCUAGAAUGAACUUCUAAUUUUAAUUGAAUUUAUGCUUAUAUAAAAAAUCAAAUUGAUGAAUAAAAUCAAUUCUUAACUGAAAAUUUCGUUGAUGAUUCGAUUCGGGGGGAAAGGCUCGGAUAUCUUCUGAACCUAGAAACACAAUUAUAGUUGCCAAACUAUGACAGUUCCGAGGAGAGAAUCAGGAGACUUGGAUAGUUCAAGCUAUACAUUAUUUCGAUUUCUAUAAAAUUGAGGAAGAUCAAAAGCUUAAUGUGGUGUCGCUCUACCUUAAUGGUGAAGCAUUACAAUGGUACCCGUGGUUAUUUAGGAAUAAUCAAUUAAGUGAUUGGUUGCAUUUUGCUGAUAAGAUGAAAAUUCGAUUUAAACAGAAAUGAUAUGAGUCUGCGACAGAGUGAAGCGCCAAUCUCGAACAGAUAUGCCGAAGCUGAAGCAUUACGAUAACUUACGCAACUCAUAUACUCAUCAUCUAGUUCACAAGGUUUGGCACAUUCUUCAUCAAGAAAUGAAUCAUUUGACGUCAUCAACUCCGCGAUAUGCGUUGACAUCGGUAUAUUGACAGUUGAUUUCGCUGCUAAAGAAUGAAAAUGAUAUUGUGUACUAACUCAAGGCAGAUGCGCGGCUAGCUGCUUAAACUUUGUUUGUUUAGGUAAAAUUUGACAAAUACGACAACUACAAGUAUUGUCAAGUGGGCUAACAACCUUUAUCAAGGAGUUAUGCUUCCAUUACCCGUGCCUCUAAAGCCAGCUGAUGUUAGUGACAAUAAUUGUAGUGAAACUAGUUGAAGUUCCAUAAACCGAUCCUAUCUUGAGUUUGGGUGAUAUUGAUUUGAAGUUUAAGCAAGUUUUGUAGUGAUUUGAAGUUAAAGCAAAUUUUUUUAGUGAUAUGAAGUUUCUUGUAAUCGUAAUGGUUGAAACAAAUGAUAUGUUUUUGUUCACUUCAUGAUAUACUUUUGUGUUGAAUAUUGUAUUAUUUCUUAAUACUGAUGUCCUUUGAUAA